This 65-nucleotide transfer RNA is filed under the name Halocynthia spinosa. Its description in RNAcentral is "transfer RNA-Tyr". The record is from RNAcentral. Lineage: Eukaryota; Metazoa; Chordata; Ascidiacea; Stolidobranchia; Pyuridae.
GGAUUGAUAUUAUAUUUGAGUAUUUAAGGUUGUAAACUUUGAGGUAGUGUUUUCGCUUUGGUUCA